GCGAUUUCUAAUGCGAUUUUCUUCUUCUGAUGGAUGUGAACGUGUGGAUGAGUUAUGAAUGUUGAGAUGAGGGCAUUGAACUAUAAAUAAACUGGAAGGCUAACUCAGGGGGGGGGAUUGAAGCCAGUGCAUUUUAGUUUUUCUGAGUUAUGAGCAGAAAUACUCAACACUGAACGUUGGGCUAUAUAUCAAAUUAAAGCUAUUGAAAAACUCUAUUUGGUGUAGAAAUUUCAAGACUUUAGCUAAAAGGGAAAUAUUGAAAAACUACAAACAUAAUUACCGAUAAUUUGCCGUUUUGCAGUUGUUUUCGUAUUUUUUAAAUAUUUUUCUUUUCGCUGAAG
Molecule: non-coding RNA, 341 nt
Organism: Paramuricea clavata
Lineage: Eukaryota; Metazoa; Cnidaria; Anthozoa; Malacalcyonacea; Plexauridae
Source: the annotation of a GenBank genome assembly